This is a long non-coding RNA of Musca domestica (house fly), 2057 nucleotides long. RefSeq lists it as uncharacterized. The record is from RefSeq and is a predicted model, not a curated record. NCBI's taxonomy places the organism in Eukaryota, Metazoa, Arthropoda, Insecta, Diptera, Muscidae. The transcript has 2 exons.
AAUGUCGAAAUUUUCAAAAAAUAUAUUUUUUGCACAGAGAGCGAGAGAAAGGAUUAUCCGAUUUUGCUUCAACUUUGCAAAUCUUAAUAUUUGCAUUAGUGCUAGGUCUGGUGCGAAAAUGGACAAUAUCGGUCCACUCCUUCUGGUACCUCCCCCACAAAGGGUCAAAAUUGUAAAUAAUUACAACUCUCAUAAAAUGUGAUGUAAGAGUCCGAUUGUCUUCAAAUUUCACAUAUCGCAAUAUUUAUAUUUACCCAAGGUCUGGUGUUAAGAUGGAAUAUAUCGGUUCACUCCUUCUGGUACCCCCCCACAAAUGGACGAAAUUUUCAAAAAUAUAUAUUUUUUGCACAGAGAGAGAGAAAGUAUAAUCCGAUUUCGCUUCAACUUUGAAAAUCCUAAGAUUGACGUCAGUGCUAGGUCAGGUGUGAAAAUGGACAAUAUCGGUCCACUCCAUCAAGUACCUCUCCCACAAAGGGUCAAAAUUUUGAAUAAUUACAACUCUCAUAAAAUGUGAUGUAACAUUCCGAUUGUCUUCAAAUUUCACACAUCCCAAUAUUUAUAUUUACCCAAGGUCUGGUGUUAAGAUGGACAAUAUCGGUUCAAUCCUACUGGUACCUCCCCCACAAACGGUCGAAAUUUUCAAAAAUACAUAUUUUUUUUGCACAGAAAGAAAAACGACGAAAAACAAGAUGCUCAAAAAGAAAUCGAAAUAAGAAUCCGACUCUCUUCAAAUUUCACACAUACAAGCAUUUUUGCUAACACAAGAUGAGGCUUGUCCGCAGGCAACAUUCUUUGCGUCAAUUGAAUUUUGUACGGGAACAAAUGCAAAUCAAUCCGUAGUAAAGUGGACCGAGCCAUGCCCAACUGCUGAGAACGGCGUUUUUGGGAUGUUCUUGGGGACCUCUCAACACUGGCUCGUACGACAGCGAUAUUCUCGGCCGAUCGCCUUGGUCGACUUUUAUAUGGCCUCUUCGGAUUAGAAAGAGCCUUACCAGUCGAUUUUUCGUAUAAACGCUUAAUGGUGUUCUUAGAAGGCGCACUUCUCACAUUUUUUAAUGUUUUAAAAGCACGUUGAGUUUUCACAAUUGACUUCUUCUGUUGAAUGUAAAUUUCAACUAUUUCAGAGCGCUCGCGUGGCGUGUAUUGUUUCAUGGUAAAAAUCUGCUUGGACUGACGCUUCAAACGCGGUAUGUCAUUAAGCGAUGUGACAUCUCUGUCAAAAGUUAUGGCGUUGCCAGAUGGGUCCGUCGAAUAUGUUCAACCCUGUAUAUAUCUGCGAAACCCUUCUGGUACCUCACCCACAAAGGGACACAAUUUUCAAUACUUUUAUCGUAAAUUGCGAAACAACUCAGCGAUUCUUUAUAACUUGCGCUAUCUAACAGCCUGUUCCACGAUCUCGAAAGAAAAUUUGUGCGAACGAAGGCUACUCACUCACUUUCGUAUAAGAAUGCGUUCCACUAACUUUCGUUCUUUCUUUCGCAUAGCCUUACGUGAUUCAGUGUUGCUAAAUAUUUUUUUGGAAAAAUUAAUCGCGAAAUAAAGCAAAAAAACGUCAAAUGUCUAAUUUAAACGCGAAAAAGCAGCAGUGGCUCUGUCUCAACUGACAUUUCAGUUGUAAACAAACAAAUUGUAAAUAAACAAACAAAAUAAAAUUUCUACUGAUUGUGUUCAAACUAUUUGUGCUCUUAGAAAAUAAAAAAAAAAAGAAUAUUUCCGUAGCCCUAUUUUUUAUGGAGGAGGUUCGAAAUGUGCCACGGAGGCAUUUAAGAGAUGCUUCGAAUUUAUUUGAAGUACCUAACAACCAGUUUGUGGCCAACUUUCGUGUGCCGAAGGAAGUUUUCGGGCUCUUUUGGAUAUGAUGGAAGAGAAGUGGGUGCCCGGUUGCAGAACUACCCAAAUCCGCCCUGAUUUAAAACUUCUUCUGCUGCUUCCAAAAAUUGGAACACAGGAUUCUCCUCCAUUUACUCAACUAGUGCCCGCAGCUGUGUAGUUGAUGAUUUUUUCGUGCUGGAAUUGAGAAAAUAAAAAAAAUAUAUAUUUGUUGUUCACAUAUUAAA